Stomoxys calcitrans (stable fly) is the source of this 731-nucleotide long non-coding RNA. RefSeq lists it as uncharacterized. NCBI's taxonomy places the organism in Eukaryota, Metazoa, Arthropoda, Insecta, Diptera, Muscidae. The record is from RefSeq and is a predicted model, not a curated record. The transcript has 3 exons.
UAUUCGUUGCAACUCAUAGACAUAACAAAAAAUUAUAAAUUAACAAAAAAAAAGUUAACAGCAAGGCGUAAACAUGAUUUGUAAAUAUAAUUUGUAAUUCAAAAGCAAAAAAGCAGCUGGCAGUUUUGCAAAGAGUCGGAUCGGUCAUCAUCAGCUCUCUUCACUGUCCGUCCGGGAUGGAAAAGUCAGUACUUUAGUACUUUUUUCAGUACUUUUACCACCCGAAGAGUACCGUCGUACCACCGCGACCGAUUUAGUACCGUUUAAUGCACUAAGAAGUUUUUGAAACCCAUGGGUAUUCGCUUGUUAGUCGAUCAAAUCAUGUACGCCCGAAUUUGUUGACCUGCCGUAUGCAUGUUAAUGGGGCAAUAGCAGUUCUUAUUUAAUUAAAAAAUAAUCCUUAUGCACAAGUCGCCUUAUACGACUUAUUGAGCCUCUAGAAGGCUUUGGGAGAGGGGAGGGCCCCUGCCACGUGACACCCAAUUUUUAUAUCAGAAUCCCAUUCUACUCUUGAAUUUCUUUCAUUUAAGUUUCAUAUUGUACCAAUUGAUCUAUAUGUCGGUUUGUAGGGUUUUAGGUUGGGGCGUUCCACUAGAUACAUGACUCAAAAUUUAAAUAUCUGAUUUCCGUUUUUGGAUUACUACUCGUAUCAAUGUACAAGCAAAAAUUUGAAUAAUCGGUAAAGCAAUAUUUUUCCUGAGAGAAAUUUUUGAUUUCUGAUUUUUUUAUUA